Non-coding RNA from Thiocapsa marina 5811, 77 nucleotides. The record is from Rfam. Lineage: Bacteria; Pseudomonadati; Pseudomonadota; Gammaproteobacteria; Chromatiales; Chromatiaceae.
AACCGCCGGAUGCGGAAAACCGCAUGUCCGGUGGUGUGGGAGGGCUGACGGGCGCAAUCCCGUCAGCCCGACCCGAU